AAUAGUUUCUUUGGUGAUGACCUACUACAUGGAUAACCGUAGUAAUUCUAGAGCUAAUACAUGCGUAAAUCUCGACUCACGAAGAGACGUAUUUAUUAGAUAAAGACCGACCUCGUUCUGCGGUGAAUCAUAAUAACUUCACGGACCGCAUGGCUUUAUGCCGGCGGUGUUCCAUUCAAAUUUCUGCCCUAUCAACUUUCGACGGUAGGAUAGAGGCCUACCGUGGUGUUCACGGGUGACGGAGAAUUAGGGUUCGAUUCCGGAGAGGGAGCCUGAGAAACGGCUACCACA
RNAcentral lists this ribosomal RNA (291 nucleotides) under uncultured eukaryote. Its description in RNAcentral is "partial 18S rRNA". It matches the Rfam family "Eukaryotic small subunit ribosomal RNA", at positions 111 to 414 of the family's 1831-position model. The record is from RNAcentral.